Non-coding RNA from Odocoileus virginianus texanus, 1038 nucleotides. NCBI's taxonomy places the organism in Eukaryota, Metazoa, Chordata, Mammalia, Artiodactyla, Cervidae. The record is from RefSeq and is a predicted model, not a curated record.
UUCACUUCACUGAGCAGUUCAUCAUCACGAGGAGAUGAGAGUCCUGAGUAUUUCUGUGCUCUGUUUGAGGGUCUGUGGAGGAGAAGAGAAGGUGAGAGGAAAGGAGGCAGGUGCCAAGGGGGCACACCUGGAAGUUCAGUGUGCUUGUCCCAGUCACCUGGUUAUCCCACCAGGACAGGGGAAUGUAUUCCACCUCCUCCCUGGAGCCAGGCCUUCCCAUCAACUCCAUCUGUCUUUUAACACUGUACUCAAAAGGAGCCAACACCAGCAUGGCCACCAGCCAGCAGGUAGCUCACUCCCAAGGUGGCGGGGGCAUCUGAAAGCCUCUUCCCAGUCGGCCUCCCCAUCCAUCAGCACUCUGAGUUGGGCCUAGGUGAAAACAGGACAUGGCAAGAUGAAGGGGCUACAGUCGCCACAACUCGGAAGUUGGAGUCCUCAGCAUCCUCAGCAAACUCCUCUCCACAGGCGAGUGCAGGGGCUCCUGUCCGCCGUUCUCCUGCCUGAUCAAGGAGCACCUGCAGGAGGGGCCCCUUUAAAGUGUAACAGACAGUGUGUUUCCCUCGCAGCCGCCUGUGUGCUGGGCCGUGGGCCUGACUGUACGGGCACAUAUACUCCAGGGGCUCAGCUGGGGGUUCCAUCGUCUCAUCUCUGAGACCUGGAGAGGGCUGGGGGCAGAGUCGGGGGGCUCGCACAUUGAGGCGUCUGAGUAACUGCAAUUACACACUCAAUGAAACCUAUCGCUGUCAUUCAUCGUGCUGGGCUGGGAGAGAAUGACUUAUCCUGUCGAAACCCGGGCUUCAUGGGGUUUCCUGGGCCACUGGGGCAGCCAGAAUGGCUCUAGUCUAAGAAGUGAAGGGGGCAAGAGAAGAACGGAUUAAGUGCUGGAGGGGUUCUGGUGGGAGGAGCCCCAGGGAAGGCCACGUGGAGGAGAUGACACGGCAAAGGGGCUUAGAGGAGGGCAGGGUCUUGACAUGUGGAGCCAGAGGGGGAAGGGCAGAGAUGAUUCCAUAGAAAGAACAGAGCAAAGUGUGAACCCAG